Molecule: ribosomal RNA, 254 nt
Filed under: uncultured Lactobacillus sp.
Lineage: Bacteria; Bacillati; Bacillota; Bacilli; Lactobacillales; Lactobacillaceae
Description: partial 16S ribosomal RNA
Rfam family: Bacterial small subunit ribosomal RNA
Source: RNAcentral
AGUAACGCGUGGGUAACCUGCCCUUAAGUCUGGGAUACCAUUUGGAAACAGAUGCUAAUACCGGAUAAAAGCUACUUUCGCAUGAAAGAAGUUUAAAAGGCGGCGUAAGCUGUCGCUAAAGGAUGGACCUGCGAUGCAUUAGCUAGUUGGUAGGGUAACGGCCUACCAAGGCGAUGAUGCAUAGCCGAGUUGAGAGACUGAUCGGCCACAUUGGGACUGAGACACGGCCCAAACUCCUACGGGAGGCAGCAGAC